Scleropages formosus (Asian bonytongue) is the source of this 1614-nucleotide long non-coding RNA. RefSeq lists it as uncharacterized. The transcript has 3 exons. The record is from RefSeq and is a predicted model, not a curated record. Lineage: Eukaryota; Metazoa; Chordata; Actinopteri; Osteoglossiformes; Osteoglossidae.
UCCAGUUUUACUGGGUUACAUGCUCAUACCAGUUAUUAUACCGCAUAACAAUUACGAAACACAACUUCAUAUCAGUGAAAAAAAUAAUAGCUUCUUUUGCAUAUUUAUUUACAUUUAGCUGGCCUCUUUUCUCCAAACUCACUCAUGCAGGUUAGCCUGUGUACAAUGAUUUACCCAUUUGUAUAGCUGGGUGUUUUUCAUUGGAGCCCAUCGGGGUAAAUACCUUGUUCAGGGGCUUUACAGCUGCUGCUGGCAUUCAGAGCCGGGUCCUGCGAGCGUAAGGCACCUGCUCUAACCACUGCGCCCCCUGCAGUCGCCCGUGUCGACAACUAGACAUCUUCGCUGCUCGCCUUCCAGAGGGCUUAGAGGUCAUCGUGAGUCUCACGUGACGCUUACCGCGGUCGAACUGAACGGUUACGCAAGUAACACUUAAAACAAACAAGCGACGUGCCAUAUGUGACACUCCACACGCUCGUUUGUCUUUUAAUCCUCGAGGGAUAAAAACAGCAGCAGCCGGGGCUGUUCUGCACUCGUGCGAAAAAGAGACCUUCCGCGUAGAUCAGCGGCACAAGGAGAUAAUCCUCCCGCCCCUUCGGGUUUGACACGUUUCCGUACGACGAGGCCUGGCUUUCCCGCGGCAAACGGCACGGCCGGCGGCCCUAGGUAUCGGACCCUCAAAAGCCCAAGUCCAUCGAAGAAAACUCCAUCAGGCAGUCCACGGUCUCGGCUCCCUCUGUCCUCGGGCCUGAGUCAAACCCGCACGCCGCUGAGCUGCGGGGCUGUUCUGUCAGCGUGUCGGGCCGCUGGGAAGCUGCGCUCCCUGGCUGUUUCCAUGGCGACGCACAGGAUCAGCGUUCAGAGAGCGGCGAUCCGACCAGGGGACCGAGCGUCUCGCAGUCUCACACUGAACCGGCCCCCCGUUCCCCAGGAGGCGGUGAACGCUCUGCCUAGAAUUGUAGCGGCGGCGGCAGUCUGGGGACACAGCGCCAGGGCGCCGACUCCACGCCAGCACUUCCUGGCUCCGGGACACACGUUUUACAAGCCUUCAAUUAAGUGGCGACAAAACUGUUUUCAUCACUGCGCUAAUGUGGCACAAAAAAACAACACCCAGUAAGAAUAGCAAACGGGAAUAAAGAGAUUAUUUUGCACAGCCUGUGGAGUCAGUGUGAACAGCAUUGGAUUCAAAUUUGUGUCAAGAAAAGGUGCUCUAUUGUGAGGCCCUUCUGCAGCUCCCCCCAGAAAGGCCAUGUCCUCCGCCCCUCCUCUCACUCGGCCGCUGACUUCUGACCUCAGUCAUUCAGAGUUCUCCUGCAGGCUGCCGGAAUCCGCAGACAGCGCGGGACCCCCGAGACCAAAGGGCAGACAGUCGCUCAAAGCGCAGACAACCCAGCGGGCAAGUGGCAACGUAUGGGCCGCGGCGAGUCGCUCGAAUCCCACGCCUUCGGGCCAGCUGGGAAAUGUCUGGAGAUGGUCUGGGGAACAUCUGGGGAACAUUUGAGCUUGUGCCACUUGUACAGAUUCAGAACUGCAGGGAAAUAAAAACAGCCUGAAACUCUACGAACUCUAAGGUACAUCACCUGCAGAAGCUGUACCAUAGUGGUUAAAGCCGCUGCC